UACGUAGGUGGCGAGCGUUGUCCGGAUUUACUGGGCGUAAAGAGCGCGCAGGCGGUCGUACAAGUCGCGUGUGAAAGCCCCCGGCUCAACUGGGGAGGGUCACGCGAUACUGUUCGACUCGAAGGCAGGAGAGGGAAGCGGAAUUCCCGGUGUAGUGGUGAAAUGCGUAGAUAUUGGGAGGAACACCGGUGGCGAAGGCGGCUCACUGGCUCAUUGCUGACGCUCAGGCGCGACAGCGUGGGGAUCAAACAGG
RNAcentral lists this ribosomal RNA (253 nucleotides) under uncultured bacterium. RNAcentral describes it as "partial 16S ribosomal RNA". It matches the Rfam family "Bacterial small subunit ribosomal RNA", at positions 524 to 776 of the family's 1533-position model. The record is from RNAcentral.